GGACAGGGACAGGAGGGGACAGGGACAGGGUGACACUGUGAUGGGGACACGGUGAUGGUGGCAGGAGGUGGCAGGAGGUGACAGGAGGUGACAGGAGGUGACACGAGGUGACAGGAGGUGACAGGAGGUGACAGGAGAUGUCCCCGCGCUACAGCCGCUCCUCCGAGUGUCCCCAACCUGCGGAGGGGACACGGUGAGGGGACAGCGGGGACACGGGGGGGACAUGGGGACCCCUGCCCGUGUCCCCUCUGUCCCCAAUGUCCCCAAUGUCCCCAAUG
Molecule: long non-coding RNA, 278 nt
Organism: Poecile atricapillus (Black-capped chickadee)
Lineage: Eukaryota; Metazoa; Chordata; Aves; Passeriformes; Paridae
Exons: 3
Source: RefSeq, a predicted model, not a curated record